This 1109-nucleotide long non-coding RNA is filed under the name Homo sapiens (human). Its description in RNAcentral is "small nucleolar RNA host gene 1". The record is from RNAcentral. Lineage: Eukaryota; Metazoa; Chordata; Mammalia; Primates; Hominidae.
CUCAUUUUUCUACUGCUCGUGGAUUUACGCGCACGUUGGAACCGAAGAGAGCUCUGUUGUUGCAAUGUUCAGCCCACAAGAGCUUACUGGUGAAGGAAUGGGACAAGACCCAUCUUUAUGCAAAGCCAGCGUUACAGUAAUGUUCCAGCAUCUCAUAAUCUAUCCUGGGGAAUUCAGCUGCCUCCCAGGGUGAAUACAGGUAUUCCUGAUGACAGUCUGCCUCUAUCUUACACUUGUUGCUAUAUACCAUUGAAAAGCCUUCAGAGCUGAGAGGUACUACUAACCAAUAACCUGCUUGGCUCAAAGGGCCAGCACCUUCUCUCUAAAGCCCAAGAGGAGUUUGAGGAAAACUAGGUGUCUGUGUUCACUCCAGGCUGAAGUUACAGGUCUGAGCAAAUAAGGUGUAUAAAAAAUGGAAUCUGUCUUGGAGGACAUCAGAAGGUGAAUUUUCCAAGUUCUUGGACAACCUAGCUGUUGAAAAGCUUUCUGGGUUUGGGGGGUAUUUCAGAUGUACCUUAAAGUGUUAGCAGACACAGAUUAAGACACUGGGAGCCAAUGAAACAGCAGUUGAGGGUUUGCUGUGUAUCACAUUUCUGUAUUUUAUCACCCCCUUCCUGCAACAUUAUUUAUCUGGAAUCUACCUGCCCUUUUGUUUUUUAGAUACAAGGGCUUGGUUUUGUUACCCAGGCUGGUUUCAAGGCCAUAGCUUUAAGAGAUCCUCUCACCACAGAUUUCCAAAGUGCUGGGAUUGCAGGUGUGAUUCAUGGCACCCAGACUUUGCUGCCUUUCUUACAUGAUCCAGGCCCAGAACCCAAACUCAGGCACUGUAUAGAUGACCACUUUCGUAAACUACUGACCUAGCUUGUUGCCAAUUGUUGAUUGAACUUCCCAUAACUCCACUUCGUGUCUGUUCCUCUGUAUACAGCCACCUUCUGUUCCCGUCAUGAGCCUUUAGGUCUCCAUUUGCAUAUUGCAAAUACUAUGUUCCAUGUAGGUAGCUCAUUCAGGGCCUUGCUCUUCACUUCAAAAAAGGUUCCCUUGAGGACUGGCUGUCAAUUUGUGUUGCUGUGUUGGUUGUUGAUGAAAAUAAUAAAAUGAUUGAUUACAUA